Molecule: long non-coding RNA, 1472 nt
Organism: Dicentrarchus labrax (European seabass)
Lineage: Eukaryota; Metazoa; Chordata; Actinopteri; Moronidae
Exons: 3
Source: RefSeq, a predicted model, not a curated record
GGAUGGCAGAACCAGUUAGCUUCAAAGUUCUUUUUGGAGGUGACGACGAUGCAAGAAAACUAAUCAUUCAAUCUGGAAUGCCGACAUCUGUGUAUUAAUUGGCUCUUGAAAUUAAGACUUUCUUUGGUGUGACAGAGCAGUUCAGGCUUCAAUACAAAGAUGUAGACUUUGGAAAUGAUUUUAUGAACCUUGUGUCAAUUUCUGACAUUCAAGAUCGAAGUACUUUGAAAGUGGUAUGCUUGCCCUGUGAGGCUACCAGCUCAGUGAUCUCCUCAGAUUCACCCACUACAAACAUCUGGUCCACAAUACCAGCGACUCCCCCCAAUGUAUCUACUAGUUCCUCAUCACAACAACCAACUGAUCCAACAUCUGUGUACUCCCAUAGCAGCAAUGAUACCAUCAUUUUGUCAUCUCCUGAGUCUCGGUCCUGCUCUUGGCCUCAAGUCUUUGUUGUGCCACGGUUUUCAUAUUGUGCUGAGAUGGUGCUCCAGAAGGGAAAUGAUGAUUUCAAUGCAAAUGGAACUCUUCUUUCUCUUACCCCGAAAGUCAGAUCUGAUAUUCUUGAAGGCCUUGUAGAAGAAAUUAUCAGGUACACAGCAUAUCCAAGAAAUUGAACAGUUUGAAGAAGUUGCUGAGGCCUUGGUAAAGACUCACCCGUGUUAGUGUGAGAAAGGAACUCGCAGUGGUUAUUGUGGAUGGAAACACUACAUUAAGAUCAAGAUGAUGAACUUCCGCACCAAGCUUGGCCGAGCUGGACACCCAGAAGUCAUUGUCAACUCACUUAAGAACAAACGGAAAGGUCAUGGGAAACCAGCUGCGAACAUAAAGAAGCCGGAAGGCAGACGUUAAUUUCUGUCCAAGCCAUCCAAGAGGUGAAACGACUGAAAGCCUAGAGGUGGAAAGGGUUGCUCUAUUGACUGAGGUAAAGAAAAAGAACAACGAGGCAGUGAUCAAGGAAAAGAUGCAGCGUACCUUCUCGUACAGACGACAAGAAAUUCUUCAGGAUUACAGAGGUCCGAAACAGAUGGCCAGCUCUGUUUGAACUAAACUGGUAAAGUCACUUUGGAGUUCAUGCGUAUAACAACUGUCCCUCUGAUACCAAAUUCAUUGGACAACUGGACAGAUACACUGAUGACCUGAUUAAGGUUUUCCGUGCCAAAGGAGGAUCUGCAGGACAGAAAAUUUGUGCCAUAAUGGCAUUGACAGCUAAGUGGCAUGUUGUUGGCGUUUACCAGUUGUUGGUUCUGGGAGCAUGGGUGCAGCGACCGUGGAUGCCUGGGUCCCCCUGCCAAGCAGGGUGAGCGGUUGAAGAUCACCAGCUACUGGACCUCGGGCCGUAAGCUUGGCCCCACUGGUGACCGUGGAAGCCCCACUCAGGUGCAGGAGAUGUUGAUGCUCACCGGUUGCUGGACCUGGGAUGGAGGACAUAGCUCCGCUGGCAGCCAUGGUUAUUGAUGGCUCACUGGAGCAUA